UCCGUAGGCGGUUUUGUAAGUCAGUGGUGAAAUCUGGUCGCUUAACGAUCAAACGGCCAUUGAUACUGCAGGACUUGAAUUACCAGGAAGUAACUAGAAUAUGUAGUGUAGCGGUGAAAUGCUUAGAUAUUACAUGGAAUACCAAUUGCGAAGGCAGGUUACUACUGGUUUAUUGACGCUGAUGGACGAAAGCGUGGGGAGCAAACA
This 207-nucleotide ribosomal RNA is filed under the name uncultured bacterium. RNAcentral describes it as "partial 16S ribosomal RNA". It matches the Rfam family "Bacterial small subunit ribosomal RNA", at positions 568 to 774 of the family's 1533-position model. The record is from RNAcentral.